RNAcentral lists this ribosomal RNA (485 nucleotides) under uncultured bacterium. RNAcentral describes it as "bacterial SSU rRNA". It matches the Rfam family "Bacterial small subunit ribosomal RNA", at positions 49 to 524 of the family's 1533-position model. The record is from RNAcentral.
UAACACAUGCAGUCGAACGGUAGCACAGAAGAGCUUGCUCUUCGGGUGACGAGUGGCGGACGGGUGAGUAAUGUCUGGGGAUCUGCCCGAUAGAGGGGGAUAACCACUGGAAACGGUGGCUAAUACCGCAUAACGUCGCAAGACCAAAGAGGGGGACCUUCGGGCCUCUCACUAUCGGAUGAACCCAGAUGGGAUUAGCUAGUAGGUGGGGUAACGGCUCACCUAGGCGACGAUCCCUAGCUGGUCUGAGAGGAUGACCAGCCACACUGGAACUGAGACACGGUCCAGACUCCUACGGGAGGCAGCAGUGGGGAAUAUUGCACAAUGGGCGCAAGCCUGAUGCAGCCAUGCCGCGUGUAUGAAGAAGGCCUUCGGGUUGUAAAGUACUUUCAGCGGGGAGGAAGGGGGCGAGGUUAAUAACCUCGUUCAUUGACGUUACCCGCAGAAGAAGCACCGGCUAACUCCGUGCCAGCAGCCGCGGUAAU